GCGCCCGUAGCUCAGUUGGAUAGAGCGUCUGGCUACGAACCAGAAGGUCGGGAGUUCGAAUCUCUCCGGGCGCGCCA
Molecule: transfer RNA, 77 nt
Filed under: Povalibacter uvarum
Lineage: Bacteria; Pseudomonadati; Pseudomonadota; Gammaproteobacteria; Steroidobacterales; Steroidobacteraceae
Also listed under: 14 other names
Description: tRNA-Arg
Rfam family: tRNA
About the family: Transfer RNA (tRNA) molecules are approximately 80 nucleotides in length.
Source: RNAcentral